ACUCAAAGGAAUAGACGGGGGCCCGCACAAGCGGUGGAGCAUGUGGUUUAAUUCGACGCAACGCGAAGAACCUUACCUGGGUUGGAACCCUCCAGAAGUUUGCAGAGAUGCAGAUGUGCCCGCAAGGGAAUUGGAUGUCCAGGUGCUGCAUGGCUGUCGUCAGCUCGUGUCGUGAGAUGUUGGGUUAAGUCCCGCAACGAGCGCAACCCUUGUCGUUAGUUGCCAGCGGUUCGGCCGGGCACUCUAGCGAGACUGCCGGUGUUAAACCGGAGGAAGGUGGGGAUGACGUCAAGUCCUCAUGGCCCUUAUGCCCAGGGCUACACACGUGCUACAAUGGUCGGUACAAAGGGUUGCAAUCCCGCGAGGGCUAGCUAAUCCCAAAAAACCGGCCUCAGUUCAGAUUGGAGUCUGCAACUCGACUCCAUGAAGUUGGAAUCGCUAGUAAUCCCUGAUCAGCAGGCAGGGGUGAAUACGUUCCCGGGCCUUGUACACACCGCCCGU
This 501-nucleotide ribosomal RNA is filed under the name uncultured bacterium. RNAcentral describes it as "partial 16S ribosomal RNA". It matches the Rfam family "Bacterial small subunit ribosomal RNA", at positions 899 to 1397 of the family's 1533-position model. The record is from RNAcentral.